This 528-nucleotide ribosomal RNA is filed under the name uncultured bacterium. Its description in RNAcentral is "bacterial SSU rRNA". It matches the Rfam family "Bacterial small subunit ribosomal RNA", at positions 984 to 1509 of the family's 1533-position model. The record is from RNAcentral.
ACAUCCAGAGAAUUUAGCAGAGAUGCUUUAGUGCCUUCGGGAACUCUGAGACAGGUGCUGCAUGGCUGUCGUCAGCUCGUGUUGUGAAAGUGUUGGGUUAAGUCCCGNAACGAGCGCAACCCUUUAUCCUUUGUUGCCAGCACGUAAUGGUGGGAACUCAAAGGAGACUGCCGGUGAUAAACCGGAGGAAGGUGGGGAUGACGUCAAGUCAUCAUGGCCCUUACGAGUAGGGCUACACACGUGCUACAAUGGCGCAUACAAAGAGAAGCGACCUCGCGAGAGCAAGCGGACCUCAUAAAGUGCGUCGUAGUCCGGAUUGGAGUCUGCAACUCGACUCCAUGAAGUCGGAAUCGCUAGUAAUCGUAAAUCAGAAUGUUACGGUGAAUACGUUCCCGGGCCUUGUACACACCGCCCGUCACACCAUGGGAGUGGGUUGCAAAAGAAGUAGAUAGCUUAACCUUCGGGAGGGCGUUUACCACUUUGUGAUUCAUGACUGGGGUGAAGUCGUAACAAGGUAAGCGUAGUGCU